UGGGGGAUAUUGCACAAUGGGCGAAAGCCUGAUGCAGCGACGCCGCGUGGGGGAUGAAGGCCUUCGGGUUGUAAACUUCUUUUGCUCUGAACAAGGCGCACCAUGGGGUGUGUUGAGUGUAGGGGUUGAUUAGCGCCGGCUAACUACGUGCCAGCAGCCGCGGUAAUACGUAGGGCGCGAGCGUUGUCCGGAAUUAUUGGGCGUAAAGGGCUUGUAGGUGGCUGGUUGCGUCUGUCGUGAAAGCUCAUGGCUUAACUGUGGGUUUGCGGUGGGUACGGGCUGGCUUGAGUGCAGUAGGGGAGGCUGGAAUUCCUGGUGUAGCGGUGGAAUGCGCAGAUAUCAGGAGGAAUACCGGUGGCGAAGGCGGGUCUCUGGGCUGUUACUGACACUGAGGAGCGAAAGCAUGGGUAGCGAACAGG
This 419-nucleotide ribosomal RNA is filed under the name bacterium. RNAcentral describes it as "partial 16S ribosomal RNA". It matches the Rfam family "Bacterial small subunit ribosomal RNA", at positions 355 to 776 of the family's 1533-position model. The record is from RNAcentral.